CGGAGGAUCCAGGCGUUAUCCGGAAUCAUUGGGUUUAAAGGGUCCGUAGGCGGGUUUAUAAGUCAGUGGUGAAAGCCCAUCGCUCAACGAUGGAACGGCCAUUGAUACUGUAGAUCUUGAAUUAUUAGGAAGUAACUAGAAUAUGUAGUGUAGCGGUGAAAUGCUUAGAGAUUACAUGGAAUACCAAUUGCGAAGGCAGGUUACUACUAAUGGAUUGACGCUGAUGGACGAAAGCGUGGGUAGCGAACAGGAUUAGAUACCCUGGUAGUCCACGCCGUAAACGAUGGAUACUAGCUGUUCGGAGCAAUCUGAGUGGCUAAGCGAAAGUGAUAAGUAUCCCACCUGGGGAGUACGUUCGCAAGAAUG
Molecule: ribosomal RNA, 366 nt
Filed under: uncultured organism
Description: bacterial SSU rRNA
Rfam family: Bacterial small subunit ribosomal RNA
Source: RNAcentral